Molecule: ribosomal RNA, 663 nt
Filed under: uncultured Ilumatobacter sp.
Lineage: Bacteria; Bacillati; Actinomycetota; Acidimicrobiia; Acidimicrobiales; Ilumatobacteraceae
Description: bacterial SSU rRNA
Rfam family: Bacterial small subunit ribosomal RNA
Source: RNAcentral
AGUCGAACGGGAUCCAUGGUGUAGCAAUACACCGGAAGAUCUAGUGGCGAACGGGUGAGGAACACGUGAAGAACCUGCCCUGAACUCUGGGAUAACAGUUGGAAACGAUUGCUAAUACCGGAUGUCGUUGUCGGAGUCGCAUGGCUCUACAACGAAAGUUUUUCGGUUCAGGAGGGCUUCGCGGCCUAUCAGCUUGUUGGUGAGGUAACGGCUCACCAAGGCUUCGACGGGUAGCUGGUCUGAGAGGAUGAUCAGCCACACUGGGACUGAGACACGGCCCAGACUCCUACGGGAGGCAGCAGUGGGGAAUCUUGCGCAAUGGGCGAAAGCCUGACGCAGCAACGCCGCGUGCGGGAAGAAGGCUUUAGGGUUGUAAACCGCUUUCAGCAGGGAAGAAAAUGACGGUACCUGCAGAAGAAGGUGCGGCCAACUACGUGCCAGCAGCCGCGGUGACACGUAGGCACCAAGCGUUGUCCGGAUUUAUUGGGCGUAAAGAGCUCGUAGGCGGUUCAGUAAGUCGGGUGUGAAAACUCUGGGCUUAACCCAGAGCCGCCACCCGAUACUGCUGUGACUUGAGUCCGGUAGGGGAGCGGGGAAUUCCUGGUGUAGCGGUGAAAUGCGCAGAUAUCAGGAGGAACACCGGUGGCGAAGGCGCCGCUCUGG